AGUCAUUACUGAUCAGGUUCUUUGUAUUCACAAAUCCCAAACCAGGAGGAAAUUAAUUCUAACAACAUUCUGUUGUAUCAAGAAGAAAGCCAUCUAAAGCAAUAUGCUUCAAAUCAAUAAUUGUUACGAAGAAACCAAAUCCAAAC
This is a long non-coding RNA of Telopea speciosissima, 146 nucleotides long. RefSeq lists it as uncharacterized. The record is from RefSeq and is a predicted model, not a curated record. The transcript is spliced from 3 exons. Lineage: Eukaryota; Viridiplantae; Streptophyta; Magnoliopsida; Proteales; Proteaceae.